RNAcentral lists this long non-coding RNA (1056 nucleotides) under Solanum tuberosum (potato). Its description in RNAcentral is "long non-coding RNA (STUB_LNC000821)". The record is from RNAcentral. Lineage: Eukaryota; Viridiplantae; Streptophyta; Magnoliopsida; Solanales; Solanaceae.
AAUAUAAAUACAAGAAUACAUACAUAGAACCAAAAAUAAAUAAAUCAGUAGCUAGACUCAAGCUAGAAUCGAUAAAAUAUUUUUCUUUUGUACUAGCCGCUUGCAAAACUCAUCGGAAUCUCGUUGUGGUAGCGAAGUUGUCGUUCCUCUGCUCGUUCCUGUCCCGAUUCGCUGCCCGGAAAGAGGUAAAAAUCUUUCUCACGUUCUGUUUUGUUUGAUCUUUAGUUGUUGAGCUUUAUAUUUUCUCAAUUAUGUCUUGGUGUUUUCUUUAUGAUUGGAAUUGAGUGGAAUCUAUAAUGCUUAGCUGAAUUUCUUUUAGUUGAUUUUUUUACUGUUUGGUUGUUCUCCGAAGUAUGAAUGUAUAGUAUUUCGCUCCUUCUUUGGUCACUGUUAACCUUCCAUGGUUUUAUAAAUGUUGAACUUUUCCGUCCAUUCAGUUCAUCAUCUCGUUGUUCAUCAGAUUGUGUUCUUAAAGUCGGCUAAGCCUUGGCUUGGUAUGGCUUUGCUUUGUUUUCCAUUACUCCGAUUCGAGUUUUUCUUUGGUUCAACCUAAGUUCAUGAAUUGUUGUUUAAUAUUAUAUUGUUUUGCAACCACUUGCUAAUGUUCAACUUUGGAUCAAUUAGCUUAAUUUUCUCUAGAUAUGAUUUAUGUCUUCCGUGUCUAGACUUUAAAGCUUAUAUACAUGUGUUUCCCCUGUUAGUGUCAAUCCAUGAGUUGUUUAGUAACCAAGUGAUUCUUUAAUGCGAAUUUGUUCAUGUACUGAUCUAUAUUCCAGCAUAUGAUUUGUUCAAGUUUAAAUCUGUUGGUUUGUAGCUAAUUUCCUCCUUUGUUUGUAUAAGUUUAAUUUUUGCAUGAUUUAUUAAAAUUCUUUCCCUUUUAUGCUUAAAUUAUUUGGGCAAUGUGUUGACCACUCAAAAAUAAUUUUGGUUACUGCCUAUAUGUUUAAGUUUGCUGUUUUUUCUUAUAAGUUAAUUGGAUUCAGAAGUCUAAAGUUGAAUAUGCUCUUAACUUUGCUAAUUUAAUUCCUUUUGUUCUGCUGCAAAUGUCCUCCNNNN